GGGUUCCUGGAGGGCCUCUCCGGGACUCGAGGAAAACGACCUUUUCCCUUGCAGCGGCGGGAGAGGGCGAAGUGGAGGACUGCUGCUCGGUUCCGUAUCCAAAAGAGACCCAAGGCUCCAGGCAAAAUAGAUUGGACAUUUUCACUUUCUCAAGCCAGGGCCACCGGUCGCCCAACCAGCAGCCACUGAGGGUGGUAUCGGGGCGCCCCUUCCCCUGGCAGCGUAUUUCAGCCCCCAGAGACAUCCCCCACCUCGGCCAUCCCCAGCGCCUUUGCAGGGACAGCAGCACAACCAUAGCAGAGGUCCUGGGCAUCCUGGAAAUAACGUGCUGGUGAUCUGGCUCAGAAGUGCACGUUGGCCCGCGCGUGCGGGGAGCUGAGAAGCAAGAGAUUGGAACUUUGCACGUGUCAAGCAAGGUUUGGCCUGCUUUGAAGACAGUAAUUUCAGAGCCACUCCGGUCUCUGCGUCACAAGCGGGCAUCAGGGCAGUGGUGGGGCGGCAGGGGAUCCUGAGACCUCCCAUGCCCUCUCUUUGGCCCCGGUGCUUCUGGGCUUCAAAAUGGUUAACUGAAAAGAACGGAGGUCACAUGACAACAUGAGUAUAUCCCCCAAGGAAGCCUACCUGUCUAUCCCCAGGAAUCUGAACCAGCAGACAAAGCACUGUCGGGUCCUUGCUGCAACCUCUUCCCCCCACCCCCUUUGAUG
Molecule: long non-coding RNA, 704 nt
Filed under: Homo sapiens (human)
Lineage: Eukaryota; Metazoa; Chordata; Mammalia; Primates; Hominidae
Description: non-protein coding lnc-BASP1-6:3
Source: RNAcentral